AAUGAUCGACUAUUCUGUGUUUAGAAUCUGUUAUCGCAACUGCGAAAUGUUGGUCAAGAUUAUAACAAGUAAUCUUUCCUUUUGACUUACAUUUUUUAUGGUUUUUUUUCACAAUCACUGAUUUCAAUAACUUUCUCCAGAACACUACUUCAGAGAGUUUCCAUGGUAACACUUGAUGAUUUGAAAAGAGUCGGUGAAAAAUAGUUUAGUCGUCUGUUUAGUAUAGAGAGUUCAAACUGUGCCAUUUGUUGUCAUCUGUCAAAAGUUGAAGAAAUCCGGGCUUCAUUUGCACAACAGUUUGGUCGACAAAUGACCGUGAUUACAUCAGUGGAUAACGAAAUAAAUUUUUUCUUCAAUGAAGUAUUUAAUACAAUCUAAUAUUUUAUUAUUUAUUGUUGAAUAAUAAAGCCUCCAUACGGUCAACAUCAAA
Molecule: long non-coding RNA, 430 nt
Organism: Xenia sp. Carnegie-2017
Lineage: Eukaryota; Metazoa; Cnidaria; Anthozoa; Malacalcyonacea; Xeniidae
Exons: 2
Source: RefSeq, a predicted model, not a curated record